UACAGCGGGUGCAAGCGUUAAUCGGAAUUACUGGGCGUAAAGCGCGCGUAGGUGGUUUGGUAAGGCGGUUGUGAAAUCCCCGGGCUUAACCUGGGAAUUGCAGUCGAUACUGCCUGACUCGAGUGUGGGAGAGGGAAGCGGAAGUUCCGGUGUAGCGGUGAAAUGCGUAGAUAUCGGAAGGAACACUAGUGGCGAAGGCGGCUUCCUGGUCCAACACUGACACUGAGGCGCGAAAGCGUGGGUAGCGAACAGG
Molecule: ribosomal RNA, 253 nt
Filed under: uncultured bacterium
Lineage: Bacteria
Description: partial 16S ribosomal RNA
Rfam family: Bacterial small subunit ribosomal RNA
Source: RNAcentral